This 749-nucleotide ribosomal RNA is filed under the name uncultured organism. Its description in RNAcentral is "bacterial SSU rRNA". It matches the Rfam family "Bacterial small subunit ribosomal RNA", at positions 33 to 826 of the family's 1533-position model. The record is from RNAcentral.
ACGCUAGCGACGUGCCUAAGGUAUGCAAGUCGAAUGCCGAUUUAUCGGCAUGGCAGACGGCUGAGUAACACAUGGGAAUCUACCUCAAACUCGAGAAUAGCCCAUCGAAAGGUGGUGUAAUACUCGAUAGUUCCGUUUACGGUAAAGCUCCGGCGGUUUGAGAUGAGCCCAUGUCCUAUCAGGUUGUUGGUGGGGUAAUUGCCUACCAAGCCUAUGACGGGUAGCUGGUUUGAGAGGAUGAUCAGCCAGACUGGGACUGCGAUACGGCCCAGACUCCUACGGGAGGCAGCAACUAGGAAUCAUGCGCAAUGGACGAAAGUCUGACGCUGCGACGUCGCGUGAGGGAUGAAGGUCUUCGGAUCGUAAACCUCUUUUAUCUGGGAACAAGUUCUGAGUGUACCAGAUGAAUAAGUGCCUGCCAACCACGUGCCAGAAGCAUCGGUAAUGCGUGGGGCACGAGCGUUAUCCGGAUUUACUGGGCGUAAAGAGAUGCGUAGGCGCCUUUUUAAGUCACUUGUAAAAUCUCCCCGCUCAACGGGGAAACUGCAAGUGAUACUGAAUUGGUUGAGUCAAGUAGAGGAGAGGGGAAUUCCUGGUGGAGCGGUUAAAUGCGUUGAUAUCAGGAGGAAUACCAAGUGCGAAGGCACCUCUCUGGACUUGUACUGACGCUAAGGCUCGAAAGUGUGGGGAGCAAAACGGAUUAGAUACCCGUGUAGUCCACACUGUAAACGAUCCCUGCUAGAUGUUUG